UAAAAAUGAAGCAAAUAUUGCAAUCAGUUUCGACCUGAACGUAGGUUAAUCCCAUUUUUAU
RNAcentral lists this transfer RNA (61 nucleotides) under Alectorobius capensis. RNAcentral's name for it is "Ornithodoros capensis tRNA-Arg". The record is from RNAcentral. Lineage: Eukaryota; Metazoa; Arthropoda; Arachnida; Ixodida; Argasidae.